AUGGAUAGUGAUCUUAGCAUUAUAUUCUGGAACGUGCGUGGCCUCAAUUCGCAGGCCAAACACAUGGUAGUCCGCAGCGUGAUUUCCUCCGCUAGACCUUGUAUUGUGUGCCUUCAAGAAACUAAGCUUGAGUUGGUCUCCUCCUUGUUGGUUUCCGAGACGCUGGGGACUACCUUUGGUGAUUUGUUCUUCCUUCCCACGACUGGCACAUGCGGUGGCAUUCUACUCGCAUGGGACAACACCAAGAUUUAUCUUUCACAUCCCGAGAUUGGCUCCUACCAUGCCUCGGCCCUCGUGUCCCCCCUCUCGGGCAACCAACAUUGGUGGCUCUCGGGUGUCUAUGGUCCGCAGGCGGAUGUUGACAAGAUGGCAUUCCUCACUGAGCUCUAA
This 390-nucleotide ribosomal RNA is filed under the name Triticum aestivum (bread wheat). RNAcentral's name for it is "partial small subunit ribosomal RNA". The record is from RNAcentral. Lineage: Eukaryota; Viridiplantae; Streptophyta; Magnoliopsida; Poales; Poaceae.